Molecule: ribosomal RNA, 393 nt
Filed under: uncultured bacterium
Lineage: Bacteria
Description: partial 16S ribosomal RNA
Rfam family: Bacterial small subunit ribosomal RNA
Source: RNAcentral
AUACGGAGGAUGCGAGCGUUAUCCGGAUUUAUUGGGUUUAAAGGGUGCGUAGGUGGUAGAUUAAGUCAGCGGUGAAAGUUUGCCGCUCAACGAUAAAAUUGCCGUUGAUACUGGUUUACUUGAGUAUAGUUGAAGUAGGCGGAAUGCGUGGUGUAGCGGUGAAAUGCAUAGAUAUCACGCAGAACUCCGAUUGCGAAGGCAGCUUACUAAGUUAUAACUGACACUGAAGCACGAAAGCGUGGGUAUCAAACAGGAUUAGAUACCCUGGUGGUCCACGCAGUAAACGAUGAUUACUAGCUGUUUGCGAUAUACAGUAAGUGGCACAACGAAAGCGUUAAGUAAUCCACCUGGGGAGUACGCCGGCAACGGUGAAACUCAAAUGAAUUGGCGGGG